UGGGGAAUAUUGGACAAUGGGGGCAACCCUGAUCCAGCAAUACCGUGUGUGUGAAGAAGGCCUUCGGGUUGUAAAGCACUUUUAGUGGGAAAGAAAAGUUCAAAGCUAAUACCUUUGAACCGUGACGUUACCCACAGAAAAAGCACUGGCUAACUCUGUGCCAGCAGCCGCGGUAAUACAGAGAGUGCGAGCGUUAAUCGGAAUUACUGGGCGUAAAGCGCACGUAGGUCGAGCUUUAAGUCAGAUGUGAAAUCCCCGGGCUUAACCUGGGAAUUGCAUUUGAUACUGGGGCUCUAGAAUAUGGUAGAGGGAGGUGGAAUUUCCGGUGUAGCGGUGAAAUGCGUAGAUAUCGGAAGGAACAUCAGUGGCGAAAGCGGCCUCCUGGACCAAUAUUGACACUUAGGUGCGAAAGCGUGGGGAGCAAACAG
RNAcentral lists this ribosomal RNA (428 nucleotides) under uncultured bacterium. RNAcentral describes it as "bacterial SSU rRNA". It matches the Rfam family "Bacterial small subunit ribosomal RNA", at positions 355 to 775 of the family's 1533-position model. The record is from RNAcentral.